UCCGAGUUGACCCCGGCAGUAUCCCAUGAGUUCCCACCAUUACGUGCUGGCAACAUAGAACGAGGGUUGCGCUCGUUGCGGGACUUAACCCAACAUCUCACGACACGAGCUGACGACAACCAUGCACCACCUGUUCACGAGUGUCCAAAGAGUUCUACAUUUCUGCAGCGUUCUCGUGUAUGUCAAGCCUUGGUAAGGUUCUUCGCGUUGCAUCGAAUUAAUCCGCAUGCUCCGCCGCUUGUGCGGGUCCCCGUCAAUUCCUUUGAGUUUUAGCCUUGCGGCCGUACUCCCCAGGCGGGGCACUUAAUGCGUUAGCGACGGCGCGGAUCUCGUUGGUUGAGACCCACACCUAGUGCCCAACGUUUACGGCGUGGACUAC
Molecule: unclassified non-coding RNA, 379 nt
Filed under: uncultured Micrococcales bacterium
Lineage: Bacteria; Bacillati; Actinomycetota; Actinomycetes; Micrococcales
Description: contains 16S-23S intergenic spacer region
Source: RNAcentral